This 342-nucleotide long non-coding RNA is filed under the name Brassica napus (rape). Its description in RNAcentral is "long non-coding RNA (BNAP_LNC013220)". Lineage: Eukaryota; Viridiplantae; Streptophyta; Magnoliopsida; Brassicales; Brassicaceae. The record is from RNAcentral.
GAAACAUUCAUAUGUUCAAAUAAGAUCAGGCAAGAUUCAAUAUACUCAAAACCAAUUCCAUUAUAUAUAAAAAAAUCGUGAAUGACAAUUAGGUUAAAGCAAAUCACAAAUCAAGGACUUAAAAUGUCGAGAUCCUCUUAGUUAAUAAACAUGCCGGCCACUCCUUGAGUUAUAUUGGACACGGCUCCCUUGGAUUCAUCCUGAUCCAUUGCCUCAAGAUAUUUCAUCUCACUGCUUUUCUUUAGCAUCUUAUUACUCUGCUCAGUUAGUAAUAGGUAUGAGAGCAGAUCAUUAUAGGUGGUGAAACCUUUUUCUCAGAUAUGUUGUAACAAUAGAUUUCUU